CAAAACGACUCUCGGCAACGGAUAUCUCGGCUCUUGCAUCGAUGAAGAACGUAGCGAAAUGCGAUACUUGGUGUGAAUUGCAGAAUCCCGUGAACCAUCGAGUCUUUGAACGCAAGUUGCGCCCGAAGCCCCCGGCUGAGGGCACGUCUGCCUGGGCGUC
Molecule: ribosomal RNA, 160 nt
Filed under: Xizangia bartschioides
Lineage: Eukaryota; Viridiplantae; Streptophyta; Magnoliopsida; Lamiales; Orobanchaceae
Description: 5.8S ribosomal RNA
Rfam family: 5.8S ribosomal RNA
About the family: 5.8S ribosomal RNA (5.8S rRNA) is a component of the large subunit of the eukaryotic ribosome. It is transcribed by RNA polymerase I as part of the 45S precursor that also contains 18S and 28S rRNA. Functionally, it is thought that 5.8S rRNA may be involved in ribosome translocation.
Source: RNAcentral